GUAGGUAAACCUGCGGAAGGAUCAUUAUCGUAGGGCUUCGGCCCUAUCGAGAUAGAACCCUUGCCUUUUUGAGUACCUUUCGUUUCCUCGGCAGCUUCGGCUGCCAAUAGGAACCCCAAAAAACACUUUGCAGUACCUGUAACAGUCUAAACAAACAAACAAAAAUUAAAACUUUCAACAACGGAUCUCUUAGUUCUA
This 198-nucleotide unclassified non-coding RNA is filed under the name rhizosphere metagenome. RNAcentral's name for it is "partial ribosomal RNA internal transcribed spacer region". The record is from RNAcentral.